CAGCGCCACGAGUGGCAAUCGCGAUUAUUGGGCCUAAAGCGUCCGUAGCCGGUCCGGUAAAUCCUUUGUGAAAUCGCCAAGCUUAACUUGGCGGCGUGCAGGGGACACUGCCGAACUCGAGACCGGGAGGAGUUAGAAGUAUUUUUGGGGGAGCGGUAAAAUGCUAUAAUCCCAGAAAGACUACCGAUGGCGAAGGCAUCUAACUAGAACGGAUCUGACGGUGAGGGACGAAAGCCAGGGGAGCGAACCGGAUUAGAUACCCGAGUAGUCC
RNAcentral lists this ribosomal RNA (271 nucleotides) under uncultured archaeon. Its description in RNAcentral is "partial 16S ribosomal RNA". It matches the Rfam family "Archaeal small subunit ribosomal RNA", at positions 477 to 747 of the family's 1478-position model. The record is from RNAcentral.